Molecule: transfer RNA, 66 nt
Filed under: Perlesta teaysia
Lineage: Eukaryota; Metazoa; Arthropoda; Insecta; Plecoptera; Perlidae
Description: tRNA-Thr
Rfam family: tRNA
About the family: Transfer RNA (tRNA) molecules are approximately 80 nucleotides in length. Their secondary structure includes four short double-helical elements and three loops (D, anti-codon, and T loops).
Source: RNAcentral
GUUUUAGUAGUUUAAACAAAACUUUGGUCUUGUAAAUCAAAAAUAAGAAAUAUGUCUUCUAAAACU